Gracilinanus agilis (Agile Gracile Mouse Opossum) is the source of this 140-nucleotide small nuclear RNA. RefSeq annotates it as U4 spliceosomal RNA. The record is from RefSeq and is a predicted model, not a curated record. The transcript has a single exon. Lineage: Eukaryota; Metazoa; Chordata; Mammalia; Didelphimorphia; Didelphidae.
AGCUUUGUGCAGUGGCAGUAUCAUAGCCAAUGAGGUCUAACCGAGGCACGAUUAUUGCUAAUUGAAAAAUGGUAUAUGCUUCCACCUGCAAGGAAUGUAGUUUUUAAAAAUAAAUUUCAUGACUAUCUUUUGUCUUUUUA